GUGCAUGUUUCAUUGACCUGCUUUCAUUGUUUGAGGGUGCAAAUGUUAUUUCUGACAUGCUAUAAAAUUUAUAGUAGGCUAGUUAGCAGCAUAACUUGGUGUAGUAAUGCUGCCAAUUUCCUUCAAACAAAU
Monodelphis domestica (gray short-tailed opossum) is the source of this 132-nucleotide small nucleolar RNA. The record is from Ensembl. NCBI's taxonomy places the organism in Eukaryota, Metazoa, Chordata, Mammalia, Didelphimorphia, Didelphidae.